CCUACGGGAGGCAGCAGUGAGGAAUAUUGGUCAAUGGGCGAGAGCCUGAACCAGCCAAGUCGCGUGAGGGAGUACUGCCCUAUGGGUUGUAAACCUCUUUUGUCGGGGAGCAAAAGCCGGACGUGUCCGGCUGUGAGAGUACCCGAAGAAACAGCAUCGGCUAACUCCGUGCCAGCAGCCGCGGUAAUACGGAGGAUGCGAGCGUUAACCGGAUUUAUUGGGUUUAAAGGGUGCGCAGGCGGAUUUUUAAGUCAGCGGUAAAAUCGUGGGGCUCAACCCCAUCCAGCCGUUGAAACUGGGGAUCUAGAGUGUGCGAGAGGUAGGCGGAAUGCGUGGUGUAGCGGUGAAAUGCAUAGAUAUCACGCAGAACCCCGAUUGCGAAGGCAGCAUACCGGUGCACAACUGACGCUCAGGCACGAAAGCGUGGGUAUCGAACAGGAUUAGAUACCCUGGUAGUC
This 458-nucleotide ribosomal RNA is filed under the name uncultured bacterium. RNAcentral describes it as "partial 16S ribosomal RNA". It matches the Rfam family "Bacterial small subunit ribosomal RNA", at positions 338 to 795 of the family's 1533-position model. The record is from RNAcentral.